AUGAACGUGCAGCGGUAUUUUCUCCAUCAGGGGACAUACAUAUCGGAGCAGCUAAAGAGUAAAGAGGGUUUUUUUAAGGGUAGACAAAUCAAGGAUUUCAUCUGUAUCACUUGUGAUGCAAUUAAUUUGCCAAACCAAAAGUACUUUGGUGGUAACAUCUCCAUGAAAAUAGAAGCCAAAGCCUUUAAUACCAUAGAUUGGACUUUCCUUAAAAAAGUUCUUAAAGUCUUCGGGUUCAACUAUACUUUUUGUGACUGGAUCUCCAUCAUCCUUCAGUCUUCUAAACUCUAUCUCUAUCAAUGGCAAUUUGAAGGUUUUUUCUCUUUUUCUAGUGGGGUAAGACAACGGGAUCUCUUAUCUCCCUUGCUUUUUUUAUAUUGCAGGGGAAGUGGUUAG
This is a non-coding RNA of Vicia faba (fava bean), 396 nucleotides long. The record is from the annotation of a GenBank genome assembly. NCBI's taxonomy places the organism in Eukaryota, Viridiplantae, Streptophyta, Magnoliopsida, Fabales, Fabaceae.